RNAcentral lists this ribosomal RNA (293 nucleotides) under uncultured bacterium. RNAcentral describes it as "partial 16S ribosomal RNA". It matches the Rfam family "Archaeal small subunit ribosomal RNA", at positions 455 to 747 of the family's 1478-position model. The record is from RNAcentral.
GUGCCAGCCGCCGCGGUAAUACCGGCAGCCCAAGUGAUGGCCGCUGUUAUUGGGCCUAAAGCGUUCGUAGCUGGCCGCACAAGUCCGUCGGGAAAUCCACCCGCCCAACGGGUGGCCGUCCGGUGGAAACUGCACGGCUUGGGACCGGAAGGCGCGACGGGUACGUCCAGGGUAGGAGUGAAACCCCGUAAUCCUGGACGGACCACCGAUGGCGAAAGCACGUCGCGAGAACGGAUCCGACAGUGAGGGACGAAAGCUAGGGUCUCGAACCGGAUUAGAAACCCCUGUAGUCC